UGUGUAGGAUAGGUGGGAGGCUUUGAAGCGUGGACGCCAGUCUGCGUGGAGCCAACCUUGAAAUACCACCCUUUAAUGUUUGAUGUUCUAACGUUGGCCCCUUACCGGGGUUGCGGACAGUGUCUGGUGGGUAGUUUGACUGGGGCGGUCUCCUCCCAAAGCGUAACGGAGGAGCACGAAGGUUAGCUAAUCCUGGUCGGACAUCAGGAGGUUAGUGCAAUGGCAUAAGCUAGCUUGACUGCGAGCGUGACGGCGCGAGCAGGUGCGAAAGCAGGUCAUAGUGAUCCGGUGGUUCUGAAUGGAAGGGCCAUCGCUCAACGGAUAAAAGGUACUCCGGGGAUAACAGGCUGAUACCGCCCAAGAGUUCAUAUCGACGGCGGUGUUUGGCACCUCGAUGUCGGCUCAUCACAUCCUGGGGCUGAAGUAGGUCCCAAGGGUAUGGCUGUUCGCCAUUUAAAGUGGUACGCGAGCUGGGUUUAGAACGUCGUGAGACAGUUCGGUCCCUAUCUGCCGUGGGCGCUGGAGAAUUGAGGGGGGCUGCUCCUAGUACGAGAGGACCGGAGUGGACGCAUCACUGGUGUUCGGGUUGUCAUGCCAAUGGCACUGCCCGGUAGCUAAAUGCGGAAGAGAUAAGUGCUGAAAGCAUCUAAGCACGAAACUUGCCCCGAGAUGAGUUCUCCCUGAGACUUUAAGUCUCCUGAAGGAACGUUAAAGACGAUGACGUUGAUAGGCCGGGUGUGUAAGCGCAGCGAUGCGUUGAGCUAACCGGUACUAAUGAACCGUGAGGCUUAACCUU
RNAcentral lists this ribosomal RNA (796 nucleotides) under Klebsiella pneumoniae. RNAcentral's name for it is "partial 23S ribosomal RNA". It matches the Rfam family "Bacterial large subunit ribosomal RNA", at positions 2135 to 2925 of the family's 2925-position model. Lineage: Bacteria; Pseudomonadati; Pseudomonadota; Gammaproteobacteria; Enterobacterales; Enterobacteriaceae. The record is from RNAcentral.